UACGGAGGGUGCAAGCAUUAAUCGGAUUUAUUGGGCGUAAAGGGCGCGUAGGCGGGUGGAUAAGUCAGAUGUGAAAUUCCAAGGCUCAACUUUGGAGCUGCAUUUGAAACUAUUUACCUUGAGGGAUGGCGGAGAAAACGGAAUUCCACGUGUAGCGGUGAAAUGCGUAGAUAUGUGGAGGAACACCUGUGGCGAAAGCGGUUUUCUAGCUUAUACCUGACGCUGAGGCGCGAGAGCAAGGGGAGCAAACAGG
This 253-nucleotide ribosomal RNA is filed under the name uncultured bacterium. RNAcentral's name for it is "partial 16S ribosomal RNA". It matches the Rfam family "Bacterial small subunit ribosomal RNA", at positions 524 to 776 of the family's 1533-position model. The record is from RNAcentral.